Molecule: unclassified non-coding RNA, 313 nt
Filed under: Pseudacidovorax sp. RU35E
Lineage: Bacteria; Pseudomonadati; Pseudomonadota; Betaproteobacteria; Burkholderiales; Comamonadaceae
Description: Long range pseudoknot
Source: RNAcentral
ACCGACGAUGGCGACUACAACAUCAAGAUGCGCAACAUCCGUCGUUUUCUGGACGACGGCGACAAGUGCAAGAUCACGCUGCGCUUCCGUGGCCGCGAGAUCACGCACCAGGAGCUGGGCCUGGCCUUGCUGCAGCGCAUCCGGGACGAACUGGGCGACGCCAUCGUGGUCGAGCAGUUCCCCAAGCUGGAAGGCCGGCAGAUGAUCAUGAUGAUCGCGCCGGGCCGCAAGAAGGGUGGGGCGGCUCCCAAGGCCGCCGAGCCGGCAACGUCCGGCCAGGCUUGAAGCGCGAGCUUCGCCUGCCUACAAAGGA